UUUUUCUAGUACGAAAGGACCGAAAAAACAUGGCCUAUACUUUAUGCAAGCCAUAAUUAUUAACUUAUGAUAAAAUCUCAAUAAGUACUUAACCCAACACUAAACUCAAAAAAAGAGUA
This 119-nucleotide ribosomal RNA is filed under the name Osteocephalus leprieurii (Cayenne slender-legged treefrog). RNAcentral describes it as "partial 16S ribosomal RNA". The record is from RNAcentral. Lineage: Eukaryota; Metazoa; Chordata; Amphibia; Anura; Hylidae.